This 93-nucleotide small nucleolar RNA is filed under the name Triticum aestivum (bread wheat). RNAcentral's name for it is "snoRNA snoZ159". It matches the Rfam family "Small nucleolar RNA Z159/U59". Rfam says of the family: This family consists of several snoRNA Z159 or U59 sequences which are members of the C/D class of snoRNA which contain the C (UGAUGA) and D (CUGA) box motifs. This family seems to be found exclusively in rice. RNAcentral also lists the same sequence under 1 other name. The record is from Rfam by way of RNAcentral. Lineage: Eukaryota; Viridiplantae; Streptophyta; Magnoliopsida; Poales; Poaceae.
CUGUCUGAUGAUGAAACCAAUUACUUUCGUUCUUCUGAUGUGCUAUCUCAUGGUACAGUGCGGAAGCAAUUUUCAGACCUGAACUGAGGAAGU